CAGGCGCGCAAAUUACCCACUCGCGACACGCGGAGGUAGUGACGAAAAAUAACGAUACGGGACUCAUUCGAGGCCCCGUAAUCGGAAUGAGUACACUUUAAAUCCUUUUAACGAGGAUCCAUUGGAGGGCAAGUCUGGUGCCAGCAGCCGCGGUAAUUCCAGCUCCAAUAGCGUAUAUUAAAGUUGUUGCAGUUAAAAAGCUCGUAGUUGGAUCUCGGGUCCGAGCUCGCGGUUCGGCUCGCGCCGAUCACUGCCCGUCUCGGACCUCACCUGCCGGUGCUCGUGCGGGGUGCUCUUCGCCGGGUGCUCCGCGUGGCCGGCACGUUUACUUUGAAAAAUUAGAGUGCUCAAAGCAGGCGGUCUGCCUGAAUAAUCGCGCAUGGAAUAAUGGAAUAGGACCUCGGUUCUAUUUUGUUGGUUUUCGGAACUCGAGGUAAUGAUUAAGAGGGACAGACGGG
RNAcentral lists this ribosomal RNA (458 nucleotides) under uncultured eukaryote. Its description in RNAcentral is "SSU rRNA". It matches the Rfam family "Eukaryotic small subunit ribosomal RNA", at positions 429 to 886 of the family's 1831-position model. The record is from RNAcentral.